UACGUAGGUGACCAGCGUUGUCCGGAUUUACUGGGCGUAAAGAGCGCGCAGGCGGUCGUUCAAGUCGAGUGUGAAAGCCCCCGGCUCAACUGGGGAGGGUCAUUCGAUACUGAUCGACUGGAAGGCAGGAGAGGUAAGCGGAAUUCCUGGUGUAGCGGUGAAAUGCGUAGAUAUCAGGAGGAACACCUGUGGUGUAGACAGCUUACUGGACCACUUCUGACGCUGAGACACGAAAGCGUGGGUAGCAAACAGG
This 253-nucleotide ribosomal RNA is filed under the name uncultured bacterium. RNAcentral's name for it is "partial 16S ribosomal RNA". It matches the Rfam family "Bacterial small subunit ribosomal RNA", at positions 524 to 776 of the family's 1533-position model. The record is from RNAcentral.